CACUGCGGGUGGGGGAGUUCACUCGAGUAUAAGACGAGGGGGGUGUUUUCAGCACGAAAAAUCGUGCUGAAAAACUCGGCCUAUACUCGAGUAUAUACGGUAAGUAAAAUUAAAUGAUACAAGGGAAUAGGAAAACAAAAAAGUUAAAGACAAGACAUUUGGCGACAAACUUCAUAGAGUCCUAUCUUCACAUGUCCAUCUAGGUAGAAGCGGUAACGAUGGAUGUUCAGGACAUAAAUGGAGGUUGACUAGGACAAAGAAAACAUUUCCAAGUUAUAUGGAAAAAUUGUGUACAUUAAAGGAAAUUAAUCAUAAAAUGAAGGCAUGCAUGUAACAUAAAAAUGAAAUAAAGUGUCUGUCAGAAACAACUUUUCUCCUGAGUAUUGGAAAGUGUCAAAUCGUAAUAAUAUUUAGGAACUAUAUAAAACCUGGAAAUAAUGUGUAAGUAACACAAUACAUUCGGUCGUUAUUCAUAAGGUUUAUGGAGAGCUAUUAAGUAAAGGUAAAGAAAAAAGAAGAAAUUGAGAGGAAGACACAGAAAGUAGAAAGAAAUGAAGAAAGAAAAAACAAAAAGGUAGGGAGAUAUGAGGAGAUGCAGCCACGUGCACAACAACAGCUGGAGGUCGCAAAAUGGAGGCCGCCGCAUUGCCUGUCCGCACAGAUAUAGCAACACUUUAAUCGGGCUGGCCAAGAGGACGUGUGACCAGAGGAGUAUGAGGAGCAGAGGGGAAGAACUUUGAUGUUAUCCACAAUUUUUGCUUUAUUUCAAUAGGAACCACAUGGCUGAGAUACUUUGCUAUAUGUCCUCUAUUUAUUUUAAUUCCCUUUAUCUUUGGUUAUCCCAGAGUGUGAUGUUGGGCUGCUAUGUUUCUGUUCUCUCUACAUACAUUAUUCCUUAUGCAAUGUCAAGUGACUCCACUAUGAUAUAAUUGCCUACAAUUCGGGGUGGUGGACACACACAGUGGGGCGACCAGGUCCCCGCAGAUCUGUUCCCUAUGGGAUCGGGCUGUGGGGAUUGGGGGUUUGCGCUAUGUGGGGUGCUGCAAUGUGGUACCACACUUCUGUUUGCAAAAGACAUGCUGCCACUGUGCCACACUCCCUGAUAUGCUCACUUUAUUAUGCCUGGUCACUUGCCAUCAUAUAUAUUCUUGCCCCGUGCGCCUCUUUUUCACAGUGCGCAUGCGCUGAUACACCCGGCAGGCCGCUGUGCCUGCGUGUACCAACGUCACUCCCGGGACGCUGUGAUCUACUGUGGAGCACACAGAGAUGCUGGUAAGCUAUUUUCCGUAGCCAUGUGGUCCCUAGAACACUAUUUGCUUACACAAGCGCUAUGUAUGUUAACCCCUUCUGCUCCUUUGAGAUAUCAUUGCUCAUAUUAUUAACAUUGUAUCACUUUCACUUACUGUAUGUGGAUAUACAUUAUGUUUGUUGUGUAUCAUAUGUUUUUUGUUACCAGUACCUGGUGGCCAUAAUUUGUCUAUUUUGGUUUACCGGAUCCGGUAACCUUAACUCAUUAUACCACAUGUUGUAACAAUUAUGAAAUUAUGUGAUAGUGUCACUGAUUGCUCACCCUAUAUAUUGCCUCACUGUGAUUCAUUUUGUUGCUUGAAGAUGGCCGUGAGAGAUGGC
Hyla sarda is the source of this 1629-nucleotide long non-coding RNA. RefSeq lists it as uncharacterized. NCBI's taxonomy places the organism in Eukaryota, Metazoa, Chordata, Amphibia, Anura, Hylidae. The record is from RefSeq and is a predicted model, not a curated record. The transcript has 3 exons.